GGUUUUCGGACCUAGAGACCGGCGCACGGGUGCGUAACGCGUAUGCAAUCUACCUUUUACAGAGGGAUAGCCCAGAGAAAUUUGGAUUAAUACCUCAUAGUAUUAUUGAAUGGCAUCAUUUAAUAAUUAAAGUCACAACGGUAAAAGAUGAGCAUGCGUCCCAUUAGUUUGUUGGUAAGGUAACGGCUUACCAAGACUACGAUGGGUAGGGGUCCUGAGAGGGAGAUCCCCCACACUGGUACUGAGACACGGACCAGACUCCUACGGGAGGCAGCAGUGAGGAAUAUUGGUCAAUGGGCGCAAGCCUGAACCAGCCAUGCCGCGUGCAGGAUGAAGCAUCUAUGGUGUGUAAACUGCUUUUGUACGAGAAGAAACACUCCUACGUGUAGGAGCUUGACGGUAUCGUAAGAAUAAGGACCGGCUAACUCCGUGCCAGCAGCCGCGGUAAUACGGAGGGUCCAAGCGUUAUCCGGAAUCAUUGGGUUUAAAGGGUCCGUAGGCGGUUUUGUAAGUCAGUGGUGAAAGCCCAUCGCUCAACGGUGGAACGGCCAUUGAUACUGCAAGACUUGAAUUAUUAGGAAGUAACUAGAAUAUGUAGUGUAGCGGUGAAAUGCUUAGAGAUUACAUGGAAUACCAAUUGCGAAGGCAGGUUACUACUAAUGGAUUGACGCUGAUGGACGAAAGCGUGGGGAGCGAACAGGAUUAGAUACCCUGGUAGUCCACGCCGUAAACGAUGGAUACUAGCUGUUCGGAGCAAUCUGAGUGGCUAAGCGAAAGUGAUAAGUAUCCCACCUGGGGAGUACGUUCGCAAGAAUGAAACUCAAAGGAUUGAC
RNAcentral lists this ribosomal RNA (833 nucleotides) under uncultured bacterium. RNAcentral's name for it is "bacterial SSU rRNA". It matches the Rfam family "Bacterial small subunit ribosomal RNA", at positions 75 to 914 of the family's 1533-position model. The record is from RNAcentral.